Molecule: long non-coding RNA, 431 nt
Organism: Girardinichthys multiradiatus
Lineage: Eukaryota; Metazoa; Chordata; Actinopteri; Cyprinodontiformes; Goodeidae
Exons: 4
Source: RefSeq, a predicted model, not a curated record
CCGUCCACCCUGUUUGGUUUGAUGUAGAACCGCACCGGCAUGUUGGUCUCUGGCACCAGGCCUUCCUCCAGAUUGUAGGUCACCCUGGGAUCGCCAAGCGGAGACGUUGCCUUGACAGUCUGAUUAGAAAAAGGUGUGUCUGAGUACGGCUUGUAGUUUCCAGGUGAGAAGUCAUGUCCUGACAUGUUGGUGCAGUGUGCCUCAACCUUGCAGCAGGCCAAGAUUAAUGCCUGUGGGAAAAUGGCAAGAGAUCACUCACAGCUGGUGAGGCUGGUGCUGGGACUGAGGCAGCAGCUGCAACGUACUUCAUCCUUUCACUUCACUGCUAAAAGUUAGCAGUUACUUUUAAAUGCGGAAGCCAGAAUCCACAACCAGGAUGGAGAAGAAAGCAGGAGGAGGAAGUCAACUGAUGAGUAAACUAUUAUAACCUG